Small nuclear RNA from Rhinopithecus bieti (black snub-nosed monkey), 100 nucleotides. The record is from Ensembl. NCBI's taxonomy places the organism in Eukaryota, Metazoa, Chordata, Mammalia, Primates, Cercopithecidae.
GUGCUUGCUUCAGUAGCGCACAUACUAAAAUUGGAACAAUACAGAGAUUAGCAUGGCCGCUGUUUAAAAAUUAAAUUAAAAAAAAUUGGGCACAGUGGCU